This 1534-nucleotide ribosomal RNA is filed under the name Bacteroides thetaiotaomicron. RNAcentral describes it as "bacterial SSU rRNA". It matches the Rfam family "Bacterial small subunit ribosomal RNA". Lineage: Bacteria; Pseudomonadati; Bacteroidota; Bacteroidia; Bacteroidales; Bacteroidaceae. The record is from RNAcentral.
CUUUUACAAUGAAGAGUUUGAUCCUGGCUCAGGAUGAACGCUAGCUACAGGCUUAACACAUGCAAGUCGAGGGGCAGCAUUUCAGUUUGCUUGCAAACUGGAGAUGGCGACCGGCGCACGGGUGAGUAACACGUAUCCAACCUGCCGAUAACUCGGGGAUAGCCUUUCGAAAGAAAGAUUAAUACCCGAUGGUAUAAUCAGACCGCAUGGUCUUAUUAUUAAAGAAUUUCGGUUAUCGAUGGGGAUGCGUUCCAUUAGGCAGUUGGUGAGGUAACGGCUCACCAAACCUUCGAUGGAUAGGGGUUCUGAGAGGAAGGUCCCCCACAUUGGAACUGAGACACGGUCCAAACUCCUACGGGAGGCAGCAGUGAGGAAUAUUGGUCAAUGGGCGCAGGCCUGAACCAGCCAAGUAGCGUGAAGGAUGACUGCCCUAUGGGUUGUAAACUUCUUUUAUAUGGGAAUAAAGUUUUCCACGUGUGGAAUUUUGUAUGUACCAUAUGAAUAAGGAUCGGCUAACUCCGUGCCAGCAGCCGCGGUAAUACGGAGGAUCCGAGCGUUAUCCGGAUUUAUUGGGUUUAAAGGGAGCGUAGGUGGACAGUUAAGUCAGUUGUGAAAGUUUGCGGCUCAACCGUAAAAUUGCAGUUGAUACUGGCUGUCUUGAGUACAGUAGAGGUGGGCGGAAUUCGUGGUGUAGCGGUGAAAUGCUUAGAUAUCACGAAGAACUCCGAUUGCGAAGGCAGCUCACUGGACUGCAACUGACACUGAUGCUCGAAAGUGUGGGUAUCAAACAGGAUUAGAUACCCUGGUAGUCCACACAGUAAACGAUGAAUACUCGCUGUUUGCGAUAUACAGUAAGCGGCCAAGCGAAAGCAUUAAGUAUUCCACCUGGGGAGUACGCCGGCAACGGUGAAACUCAAAGGAAUUGACGGGGGCCCGCACAAGCGGAGGAACAUGUGGUUUAAUUCGAUGAUACGCGAGGAACCUUACCCGGGCUUAAAUUGCAUUUGAAUAAUCUGGAAACAGGUUAGCCGCAAGGCAAAUGUGAAGGUGCUGCAUGGUUGUCGUCAGCUCGUGCCGUGAGGUGUCGGCUUAAGUGCCAUAACGAGCGCAACCCUUAUCUUUAGUUACUAACAGGUCAUGCUGAGGACUCUAGAGAGACUGCCGUCGUAAGAUGUGAGGAAGGUGGGGAUGACGUCAAAUCAGCACGGCCCUUACGUCCGGGGCUACACACGUGUUACAAUGGGGGGUACAGAAGGCAGCUACCUGGUGACAGGAUGCUAAUCCCAAAAGCCUCUCUCAGUUCGGAUCGAAGUCUGCAACCCGACUUCGUGAAGCUGGAUUCGCUAGUAAUCGCGCAUCAGCCAUGGCGCGGUGAAUACGUUCCCGGGCCUUGUACACACCGCCCGUCAAGCCAUGAAAGCCGGGGGUACCUGAAGUACGUAACCGCAAGGAGCGUCCUAGGGUAAAACUGGUAAUUGGGGCUAAGUCGUAACAAGGUAGCCGUACCGGAAGGUGCGGCUGGAACACCUCCUUU